Molecule: long non-coding RNA, 2211 nt
Organism: Solenopsis invicta (red fire ant)
Lineage: Eukaryota; Metazoa; Arthropoda; Insecta; Hymenoptera; Formicidae
Exons: 7
Source: RefSeq, a predicted model, not a curated record
UAGCGGCCAUCAGGUUUGCUUCAAUUUAGAGAUGGGUAACAUUAAUCAUAAAGGACUGCGUGGUUAGGUCUUCUCGCGAUUUUGAAGACAAAUUUCGCGUGCUAGGUGUCUUCUGUAAACGGUCAAACAGCGAAUAGCGCUAAUAGCGAUGUCGUAAUGUUUUAUUUUUUUGAUCGAUUUACAUGUGUGAUGUGAAGAAACAACGUUGUUGUGUGUACGAGAUGGGCAAGAAAAAAAAGGAAUGAGGAAUCAAAAGAGCGCGAACUAUCGUUCACUCAAGUUGACAUCAGUCAUCUCAUAUGCCUAACAAUAAUUGAAAGCAAUGUUAUGUCGGUGGUGAAUAUCGAUAUUGCCAAUAAUGAGGUGGUGGCAACGGUGGCGGUGGCUGUUGUUGACUGGAAGGCGAUGGUUCCGAUUGUAAAGAGGAUGGUACGGAGUGCUGAGCAGGUCCAACUGGAUAUAAACGAUGAGCGCGAGGAGUCUGAUGAUGAGGAUGACAGCUCGCAUUUGUUACACGCGACGACGUUGAUGCUUCCAACAUAAUGCCAGCUUGCGACUGACAAGCCAUCCUCAAACCAUGAAAAUCGAACUUGUAAACAGCGUUCAAAUUUAUAAAUCUACAAGGAUCUUGAGAAUGAUCUAAUAAAAAUAAAAUUUAUCAUGUAUGCUGAAGAAGAAAUAGAAAGGUUUGCUCUUGCGCUCACCCCAACGGCGUGCGACUUCGUCCGGAUCGGUGAGCUUAAAUUCUCCGUUUGAACCCUCCCACGCGAUGCAGGACGAGUUGGACGAAUCCGAGAGCAGCUCCAGCAGGAAUUGCCAGAGCUGAACCUGUCCGCCUCCGACCGCCCCCGAGCCACCGGCUCCAGCCGUUGAUCCAAUCAGCGAGCAAGUGCGUUGUAGGAGGCUGAACCUUUCUGCGAGCAGAAAACGAAUCGCAGCGGCCGAGGGAUGCAAUCUGGUAUCCUGCUGAAGAUGUAGAGGAUGCGUCUGAAUUCUCCACAUUACGCGCCGAAUUUAAUAUUUUGGCCUAAUCUUGUGCCAUAUAAACGGCGCUUUCGGAAACUGAUAAACGACAGGCCCAUCGUCUUUGGAGUUACGCGCAUUGAGAAUUCGUAAUCUUGUCUUUCAAAUCGACGCGACGAUUAUUUUGCAAUCUUAAGAGGUCUUGUGCAGAAUAAUCACAGUGAGCGUAGCACGAACAGCUUCAUCGAGACACCAACUGUUUUGCCAAAUAAUGGAUACAUAUCGGGAAAUAUUAAUUAAAAGUCAUUUCACUGAUCUCGAUGACAUUCUUACACACCUCGACUACUAGAGUUUUCACACGUACGCGAACAUCAAUGAAAGAUAGACGCAUUCGGAAUAAAACUCCGCUAGUCAGUGGACAGAGAGCGACUGAGCGACCUUUGCCCCUGGUUAUUUCAGCCCUUCGCACCCCCACUCUUGGUGACACAAAGUGCUCGAAGAGUAUAGGCUGGAAUGGAGGAUAUCAUGGAUGCAUGUAUUAUACACCUGCGCAUAUACGUAUAAAUACAAAGUGCAUGCCGUAAAUGCGAAACGAGCGUAUGCGGCGAGAAGUUUAAGCGACGUGUGACGGAGGUGCGACGCGUAAAAUUAUCCCGUAUACAUUCAAGAUCCAGAGAACGCUUGCCGCUCAUCACGAAAACAAUAUAGUCGCGCCCCGCGGCGAGCUUACCACCCCCGAGCCCGUUAGAGCCUGCCCCUGGAGGAGAGCAGAAAGAGGGGUAAAAGCGGUCGCGCGCGGCAAGCUCGUAACCCCUCGUGGCACCACCUUUCCGCUGCCCUAAACACUCGAUGGUUUAUUCAUGAGGACUCUCUCACCGCGAUAACACUGAUUCGUUUAAUAAACGGCUGCUGCCGGGGCGAGAUGGGCUGACACACACAUAGAGAAUGAGAAGGAAGGAAAGAGAGAGAUGGAGAGGGGGGAGGGAGAGAAGGGCUGCAACGUUAUUCAAACGGACGAUAUAUCUCGGAGGCUUACGCUGCCACAGUUCGGUACCUCUCACUUUUCGCUUUUCUUCCUCUACGUCCAAAGAGACGGUGCUCGAAAGUCUGUAUUCCGUAUACGAAAGAGAGGGGCGAAUAGAGCGUAGACAAAGGAAAAUUACAUUUUUUUUAUCUCGUUUUCUCAUGCUUCUUCAUUGUGACUCUACGCAGUCGAGACCAAUUCUAAUAAAAUAAUAUCGUAUUAUA